CCAAAUCCAAAAAACUUUAUCAACACCCCAAUGUGAACUGAGAAUGGUUUCGUUCCCUCGGUUGGGCAACCUACUGAGGGAAUGUCUAUUUUUCAACCCCUUUACAACUAUACAACCCAUUUUUUAUGCUGAAAGCAAAAAACAAAAACGAAACAUGAGA
RNAcentral lists this unclassified non-coding RNA (160 nucleotides) under soil metagenome. Its description in RNAcentral is "partial internal transcribed spacer 1". The record is from RNAcentral.